CCCUUUGCCGGCGACCGGCGCACGGGUGAGUAACACGUAUGCAACCUGCCCUCUUCAGGGGGACAACCUUCCGAAAGGGAGGCUAAUCCCGCGUAUAUCGGUUUCGGGCAUCCGAGAUCGAGGAAAGAUUCAUCGGAAGAGGAUGGGCAUGCGGCGCAUUAGCUAGACGGCGGGGUAACGGCCCACCGUGGCGACGAUGCGUAGGGGUUCUGAGAGGAAGGUCCCCCACACUGGUACUGAGACACGGACCAGACUCCUACGGGAGGCAGCAG
This 272-nucleotide ribosomal RNA is filed under the name uncultured bacterium. RNAcentral describes it as "partial 16S ribosomal RNA". It matches the Rfam family "Bacterial small subunit ribosomal RNA", at positions 81 to 354 of the family's 1533-position model. The record is from RNAcentral.